CACUCUUUGGUUUAAUUUAUCGUUUUAUGGUCCUUUCGAAGCCCAGCUCAGUCCACUAUACACAGUGUAGCAACAGUAGUAGUCGUCGGUGGCACCGUAGCGAGCCGAGGGGCCGGAGAAGAGGAAAGGCCGAAGUGGGCCGAGCGAAGAGACAAAUGAACCGCGAAACAAAGGACUGGCGUGGGGCGCAGGGCGUGGCGCUCGGCGUAUUAAGCCCGCAACGCGGCAUUGUCGGGCUCGUGUUAUUGUUGUAACCACCGGGGUUAACUUAAUUGGAUUUAAGUCGAAUUGUUUGCGCACCACACCGCACGUUGGACAGACGUAGGAUCUUCUUCGAGUUGGAAAAAUCAGUGUCUAUGCUUCUGGCCUCAGGAUUUCGCCAAGAAUCCAGUAUGCUGAACUGCCGUAUAUGAUCCUCACAAUUCUAGCCACUAGAUUUUCAUCCUAUUAGCUUCAAAGUGCUGCGUAUGCACUUUUACAUGGAUAAGUGUUUUCUUGUAUGCGUAUACGGAUCUCACGAAGAUCAUUGGAUGCCACGGAAUAACCACUGCUGUUCUUUUCACUAGCUACAGGGAGCUUCCCCGUGAAUGUAAAAGCUUCACUCCCGUUUCCUUUUCUACACCCUCCAGAUGGAUCCUCGUAUACAAGAAGCGGUCGGAUUAGCGGUGGAGUUCGGUAGCCGAGACAGCGGCUAGCAAUCCCUAGCUCGUUGAAAUGAUUCCACUUAUCCGCGGCGGGGAGUCCCCAAAGAAUCCGCGUCGGACAAAGCGGGGAAUCGAAGGCAGCCGCCACGGGACGUCCGGCUACCGAAGAUAUUUCAUUUACCAGGACAAAAAGUUCCGUUCCUCUCGAAGACGGUCCCCUGCGCCUCCGUGCCGGGGCAGCCCCAAUUCCACGCAGAGGCCCCGGUUGCCGCCCGCCAAGAAACAAAUGAGCACCGAUCAUCUUGUCCGGAGCGACAAUGGCCAUAGGAACCGGGCCCGAACUCACGGGGCUUCAUUGUCGUUAUCCCGUUUGAGAGCUUUCUCGCUUCGUUUUCACUCGCUGACCAUCUCGGCCCGCUUUCGUAAUACGACUUACCGGUUUUGGUUAGGUACCAGUUUCGGUGUCCUUUGAGGAUACAUCAAAGAUCACUCGGAUCUACGAUUGAUCAUAAACGAUCCAACGUCAUGCGGAUAAUUACCCUGCAUCACUGCGAUGAUAUUCAAGAGAUAAGGGACAAGAAGAUUUUACGGGUCUCGUCGUCGUAUCAACGUCGAAGUCACGGAGGUAGCCGGUAUUCAGGAAUUUUCGAGGAUUCGUAUACCAGCUGCGAGUGCGAGAGAGACAGACUUAUGGGUAUACAAGCGUAAAUUACAGAUAAAGAAGUCAUUCCCAGGGCAGACAGAGUCACCAAGUCGAAAUGCUAAAAAGUUGACGAGCCAGAGAAGGAAGGAAAGAAAAUAAAAAUAAAGAAAAGUCAAACUCCAAUGAUCCCACGACCGAGAACGGAAACUCUUCUCACCUGUUUAAAGCGUCGGCCAUUGUCCGCGAGAUAAUUUGGUUAAAGUAACUAAUUGUUCGCCCUUUUCAACUCGCCGCUUAUGAUGCCAGGAGCGGUCCCUUUGUCGUAAUUAAUAGUCCUGCUCACAGGACCUUACUUCUGCCUAAAUGAUUUCCCAUCCAUCUUCCAGCUCGAGACUCCCGAGCGACGUGCUGCUCUACGCUUUUCCACGAAAACACGAGAAAGAAAACAAGCCGGCAGCGAGUGCGAGAGAGACGGCGACGGCCGUUGGCCAACGGGAGUAAGAGAGAGAGAAGAUCGGAUCCAGUCAACGAAAUAGACCACGUCAACAGAAAACGAUCCCAUCAUGUAAAGCGUUGUCGAUGUAACGAUCAAAAACUCGAGGUUGAACGUCGGCCAUUUUAACGUCCCGGACUGUCUAGCCUCACGGCGUACAAACAUCGGGCACGGAACCAACAAGCCGUAUGAGUAAAAGGUGUCAGAGGUUGGCCGCGUCUGGUUCCACGGCUGUUGGCAAGUUAGUUAGUGGAAUAUGGUCUCCGAUUAGGCUCUCCAAUUGCCACAUCCGCAGGAAGGACGUGCAGGUAACAAUUUCAAGUUCUCAGUGGUUCUCAUGGCGUUCGGUGCGCAUGCGCACAAAGUCGACGGCCAUGAUGGCAAAUAAUUUCGUUGAAAGACAAACGUCGAUAUAUAUAUAUAUAUAUAUGUAACGGCGAAUA
This is a long non-coding RNA of Cephus cinctus (wheat stem sawfly), 2223 nucleotides long. RefSeq lists it as uncharacterized. The transcript is spliced from 6 exons. The record is from RefSeq and is a predicted model, not a curated record. NCBI's taxonomy places the organism in Eukaryota, Metazoa, Arthropoda, Insecta, Hymenoptera, Cephidae.